CCCUUAGAUGUCCUGGGCCGCACGCGCGCUACACUGAUGCAUGCAACGAGUUUAUAACCUUGGCCUGAAAGGUCUGGGUAAUCUUUUGAACGUGCAUCGUGAUAGGGAUAGAUUAUUGCAAUUGUUAAUCUUGAACGAGGAAUUCCUAGUAAACGCAGAUCAUCAAUCUGCAUUGAUUACGUCCCUGCCCUUUGUACACACCGCCCGUCGCACCUACCGAUUGGAUGGUCCGGUGAAGCCUCGGGAUUGUGGUUCUUGCCGCUUUACUGUGGCGUGACCGCGAGAACUUGUCUAAACCUUAUCAUCUAGAGGAAGGUGAAGUCGUAACA
This 329-nucleotide ribosomal RNA is filed under the name uncultured eukaryote. RNAcentral's name for it is "partial 18S ribosomal RNA". It matches the Rfam family "Eukaryotic small subunit ribosomal RNA", at positions 1470 to 1796 of the family's 1831-position model. The record is from RNAcentral.